GACGAACGCUGGCGGCCUGCUUAACACAUGCAAGUCGAACGGAAAGGCCCUGCUUUUGUGGGGUGCUCGAGUGGCGAACGGGUGAGUAACACGUGAGUAACCUGCCCUUGACUUUGGGAUAACCUCAGGAAACUGGGGCUAAUACCGGAUAGGAGCUCCUGCUGCAUGGUGGGGGUUGGAAAGUUUCGGCGGUUGGGGAUGGACUCGCGGCUUAUCAGCUUGUUGGUGGGGUAGUGGCUUACCAAGGCUUUGACGGGUAGCCGGCCUGAGAGGGUGACCGGCCACAUUGGGACUGAGAUACGGCCCAGACUCCUACGGGAGGCAGCAGUGGGGAAUAUUGCACAAUGGGCGGAAGCCUGAUGCAGCAACGCCGCGUGCGGGAUGACGGCCUUCGGGUUGUAAACCGCUUUCGCCUGUGACGAAGCGUGAGUGACGGUAAUGGGUAAAGAAGCACCGGCUAACUACGUG
Molecule: ribosomal RNA, 468 nt
Filed under: uncultured bacterium
Lineage: Bacteria
Description: partial 16S ribosomal RNA
Rfam family: Bacterial small subunit ribosomal RNA
Source: RNAcentral